Molecule: ribosomal RNA, 949 nt
Filed under: uncultured archaeon
Lineage: Archaea
Description: bacterial SSU rRNA
Rfam family: Archaeal small subunit ribosomal RNA
Source: RNAcentral
CCCGACUGCUAUUUGGGUGAGGAUAUAGCCAUGCGAGUUGUAUGGGAUACCUAAAUUUCCCAUGGCAAACUGCUUAGUAACACAUGAUCAACUUACCCUAUGGAGAAAAAUAACCUCGGGAAACUGAGGAUAAUGUUUCAUAGGUGAAUAGGCUUGGAAAAGUUUUUCAUCGAAAAGGAUAAGAAAAAUGGUUUUUAUCUGCCAUAGGAUAGGAUCGUGGUCGAUUAUGGUUGUUGGUGAGGUAACGGCUCACCAAGCCGACAAUCGAUAGGGGCCGUGAGAGCGGGAGCCCCAAGAUGGGUACUGAGACAGCGACCCAGGCCUUACGAGGCGCAGCAGGCGCGAAACCUCCGCAAUACACGAAAGUGUGACGGGGUUACCCAAAGUGUUCUUUUAAGAACUGUGGUAGGUGAGUAAUAUCCCCUACUAGAAAGGAGAGGGCAAGGCUGGUGCCAGCCGCCGCGGUAAAACCAGCUCUUCAAGUGGUCGGGAUAAUUAUUGGGCUUAAAGUGUCCGUAGCCGGUUUAGUAAGUUCCUGGUAAAAUCGGGUAGCUUAACUAUCCGCAUGCUAGGAAUACUGCUAUACUAGAGGGCGGGAGAGGUCUGAGGUACUACAGGGGUAGGGGUGAAAUCUUAUAAUCCUUGUAGGACCACCAGUGGCGAAGGCGUCAGACUGGAACGCGCCUGACGGUGAGGGACGAAAGCCAGGGGAGCGAACCGGAUUAGAUACGUUGGUGUUAUUUAAAUGUAAUGUAAGAAUUACUAACACAAUGCUAAAAACCCGGGUAGUCCUGGCCGUAAACGAUGCAUACUAGGUGAUGAUACGGCCAUGAGCCGUGUCAGUGCCGUAGGGAAACCGUUAAGUGUGCCGCCUGGGAAGUACGGUCGCAAGGCUAAAACUUAAAGGAAUUGGCGGGGGAGCACCACAAGGGGUGAAGCCUGCGGUUCA